Molecule: small nuclear RNA, 95 nt
Organism: Anolis carolinensis (green anole)
Lineage: Eukaryota; Metazoa; Chordata; Lepidosauria; Squamata; Anolidae
Gene: U2
Rfam family: U2 spliceosomal RNA
About the family: U2 is a small nuclear RNA (snRNA) component of the spliceosome (involved in pre-mRNA splicing).
Source: Ensembl
CUCACUUCUUGACCUUUUGGAUAAGAUCAAGUAUAGUAUCUAAUCUUAUCAGUUUAAUAUCUGGAGCCCCUGAUGGCACAAUGGGUUAAACCCUU